This 1019-nucleotide ribosomal RNA is filed under the name Enterococcus faecium EnGen0021. Its description in RNAcentral is "bacterial SSU rRNA". It matches the Rfam family "Bacterial small subunit ribosomal RNA", at positions 8 to 997 of the family's 1533-position model. Lineage: Bacteria; Bacillati; Bacillota; Bacilli; Lactobacillales; Enterococcaceae. The record is from RNAcentral.
AGAGUUUGAUCCUGGCUCAGGACGAACGCUGGCGGCGUGCCUAAUACAUGCAAGUCGAACGCUUCUUUUUCCACCGGAGCUUGCUCCACCGGAAAAAGAAGAGUGGCGAACGGGUGAGUAACACGUGGGUAACCUGCCCAUCAGAAGGGGAUAACACUUGGAAACAGGUGCUAAUACCGUAUAACAAUCAAAACCGCAUGGUUUUGAUUUGAAAGGCGCUUUCGGGUGUCACUGAUGGAUGGACCCGCGGUGCAUUAGCUAGUUGGUGAGGUAACGGCUCACCAAGGCCACGAUGCAUAGCCGACCUGAGAGGGUGAUCGGCCACAUUGGGACUGAGACACGGCCCAAACUCCUACGGGAGGCAGCAGUAGGGAAUCUUCGGCAAUGGACGAAAGUCUGACCGAGCAACGCCGCGUGAGUGAAGAAGGUUUUCGGAUCGUAAAACUCUGUUGUUAGAGAAGAACAAGGAUGAGAGUAACUGUUCAUCCCUUGACGGUAUCUAACCAGAAAGCCACGGCUAACUACGUGCCAGCAGCCGCGGUAAUACGUAGGUGGCAAGCGUUGUCCGGAUUUAUUGGGCGUAAAGCGAGCGCAGGCGGUUUCUUAAGUCUGAUGUGAAAGCCCCCGGCUCAACCGGGGAGGGUCAUUGGAAACUGGGAGACUUGAGUGCAGAAGAGGAGAGUGGAAUUCCAUGUGUAGCGGUGAAAUGCGUAGAUAUAUGGAGGAACACCAGUGGCGAAGGCGGCUCUCUGGUCUGUAACUGACGCUGAGGCUCGAAAGCGUGGGGAGCAAACAGGAUUAGAUACCCUGGUAGUCCACGCCGUAAACGAUGAGUGCUAAGUGUUGGAGGGUUUCCGCCCUUCAGUGCUGCAGCUAACGCAUUAAGCACUCCGCCUGGGGAGUACGACCGCAAGGUUGAAACUCAAAGGAAUUGACGGGGGCCCGCACAAGCGGUGGAGCAUGUGGUUUAAUUCGAAGCAACGCGAAGAACCUUACCAGGUCUUGACAUCCUUUGACCA